This 72-nucleotide transfer RNA is filed under the name Phrynosoma platyrhinos (Desert horned lizard). Its description in RNAcentral is "tRNA-OTHER". Lineage: Eukaryota; Metazoa; Chordata; Lepidosauria; Squamata; Phrynosomatidae. The record is from RNAcentral.
GCCAGCAUGGUUUAGUGGUUUGAGCACUGGACUAUAACUCUGGAGACCAGGGUCCGAUUCCCAGCUCAGCUA